RNAcentral lists this ribosomal RNA (233 nucleotides) under uncultured bacterium. RNAcentral describes it as "partial 16S ribosomal RNA". The record is from RNAcentral.
CUGCUGCCUUCCGUAGGAGUCUGGGCCGUAUCUCAGUCCCAAUGUGGCCGUUCAACCUCUCAGUCCGGCUACUGAUCGUCGCCUUGGUAGGCCGUUACCCCACCAACUAGCUAAUCAGACGCAAGCCCAUCUAUCAGCGGAUUGCUCCUUUCCCUAUUGCAUCAUGCGAUGCUUAGGUAUAUGCGGUAUUAGCAGUCAUUUCUAACUGUUGUUCCCCUCUGAUAGGCAGGUUG